This 252-nucleotide ribosomal RNA is filed under the name uncultured bacterium. RNAcentral's name for it is "partial 16S ribosomal RNA". It matches the Rfam family "Bacterial small subunit ribosomal RNA", at positions 524 to 776 of the family's 1533-position model. The record is from RNAcentral.
UACGGAGGGGACUAGCGUUGUUCGGAAUUACUGGGCGUAAAGCGCACGUAGGCGGAUUGUAAGUCAGGGGUGAAAUCCCGGGGCUCAACCUCGGAACUGCCUUUGAUACUGCAAACCUCGAGUCCGGAAGAGGUGAGUGGAAUUCCUAGUGUAGAGGUGAAAUUCGUAGAUAUUAGGAAGAACACCAGUGGCGAAGGCGGCUCACUGGUCCGGUACUGACGCUGAGGCACGAAAGCGUGGGGAGCGAACAGG